GACAACGUGGCCGAGUGGUUAAGGCGACGCCCUGCUAAGGCGCUAUGUUCUGCAUGCGUAGGUUCGAAUCCUGCCGUUGUCG
Transfer RNA from Batrachochytrium dendrobatidis JEL423, 82 nucleotides. It matches the Rfam family "tRNA". From Rfam's summary of the family: Transfer RNA (tRNA) molecules are approximately 80 nucleotides in length. Their secondary structure includes four short double-helical elements and three loops (D, anti-codon, and T loops). Lineage: Eukaryota; Fungi; Chytridiomycota; Chytridiomycetes; Rhizophydiales. The record is from Rfam.